UUUUGGUUAAGUUAAUAAGGGCGCACGGUGGAUGCCUUGGCACUAGGAGUCGAUGAAGGACGGCACUAACACCGAUAUGCCUCGGGGAGCUGUAAGUAAGCUUUGAUCCGGGGAUUUCCGAAUGGGGGAACCCACUAUCUUUAAUCGGAUAGUAUCUACACGUGAAUUCAUAGCGUGAUGAGGACAGACGCAGGGAACUGAAACAUCUAAGUACCUGCAGGAACAGAAAGAAAAUUCGAUUCCCUGAGUAGCGGCGAGCGAAACGGGAAGAGCCAGAACCAAAGAGCUUGCUCUUUGGGGUUGUAGGACACUCUAUACGGAGUUACAAAAGAAUGUAUUAGACGAAGCGACUUGGAAAGGUCCGCGAUACAAGGUAAAAGCCCUGUAGUCAAAAGUUCAUCCCCUCCAGAGUGGAUCCUGAGUACGGCGGAACACGUGAAAUUCCGUCGGAAUCUGGGAGGACCAUCUCCCAAGGCUAAAUACUACCUAGUGACCGAUAGUGAACCAGUACCGUGAGGGAAAGGUGAAAAGCACCCCGGG
This 540-nucleotide ribosomal RNA is filed under the name Acinetobacter baumannii. RNAcentral describes it as "partial 23S ribosomal RNA". It matches the Rfam family "Bacterial large subunit ribosomal RNA", at positions 1 to 530 of the family's 2925-position model. The record is from RNAcentral. Lineage: Bacteria; Pseudomonadati; Pseudomonadota; Gammaproteobacteria; Moraxellales; Moraxellaceae.